RNAcentral lists this long non-coding RNA (1191 nucleotides) under Citrus x clementina. RNAcentral describes it as "Citrus clementina (C. clementina) long non-coding RNA (CCLE_LNC004244)". The record is from RNAcentral. Lineage: Eukaryota; Viridiplantae; Streptophyta; Magnoliopsida; Sapindales; Rutaceae.
AACCAAAAAUACAAAACACGUUAAACUAAAAACUGCAGGUCCACAGCUGACAGCACACGCCCACGCCUUAUCAACAAAGUUCUCCUGCCGCUCAUAAUUUCUCCAAGAGAACAAUCAUCCUUAAACAUCAUCUUAUAGCUCAAUUUUAUCACCAAUCAAUAUAAUUGCACCUACAAAAGUAAAACACAAGUAAAUCACUAUUAUUAAGUGCAAAACAUCGAUAUUAAGGGAAGUAAACAAUGCAAAACUAGUGCAUAAAUUGAACUCUAACAAAUAGUAAAGAGAUUAAAGACUUUUAAAAUUAACUAUAAAAUCGUAUGGCGCCUUAACUAUUUUAUCUAAUACCAUAUGGUGUUAUAAAUUUAUUUUAUCAGUAUUUUGUUAGUUUUUCCAAACAUCAGUGUGUUUUUGGAAGCAAACCAGCACGUGAAAUCCAAUCUGAAUUUAGACACCAUGCCUAAUUUAGAAUUAAAGAGGAUUCAUGCACGAAAUAUAUUGGAUAGCGCGUGAAAGCACGAUUCAAAUUGAAUAAGAAUUAUUCAAAAUUGAUUUAAAGGUAGAUGUAUAUUCACGUACAGCAACUUUCAAGUAUAUCGAUGUAUAUUCACGAUGAUAAAAGAACUGAUUUUAAUAUAAAUUCGAAAUAAAUAAAUUGUUAAAUUAUACGAGUACAUUUGAGAAUUUGAAGUUAAAUUAUCCAUUAAAAUUUCAGACUUAAGAUGAAAGUUAGAAAUGCCUUAAAUAAAUGAUUUUUUUUUCUAAAAAAUAAAAAAGUUUGAUAUUUGAAACGAAGAAUUUGACAAACUAAUAACAAACCAACAAUAAAAACAUAUGAUGUUAUACUGUUUAUUUUAACAUAUAUCCUAAAUUAAGCAACAAAUUAAGAAAUAUGAUCUGGGGGCUGGGGGGCAGGACGACCUAAAGAAGCAAGAUGAAAUCAGGAUUUGGCCGAAAUUAUGAUCAAACUCGAAGCUUAUGCAACUUUUCCAAGCGGUCGAUCACACGAAACUCGAAAGAUACAACCUUUCAUCCACUUCUGAUGAUGGGGAUACAAGAUAAAUAAUACUUUUUCUUUCUAUAAUUUGCUAGAUCUCUAUUACAUUAUUACCAUCAAUUAUCAUUUAACUAAAAAAUAGAACUGCGCUUCACGCGACUUUGAAAAAAGAAUUUAAUAUUAUUCUUUUUUCUUAC